RNAcentral lists this ribosomal RNA (253 nucleotides) under uncultured bacterium. Its description in RNAcentral is "partial 16S ribosomal RNA". It matches the Rfam family "Bacterial small subunit ribosomal RNA", at positions 524 to 776 of the family's 1533-position model. The record is from RNAcentral.
UACGUAGGGUGCAGGCGUUAAUCGGAAUUACUGGGCGUAGAGCGCGUGUAGGCUGCUACGUGUGUCGGACGUGAAAUCCCAUGGCUCAACCAUGGAAGUGCGCUCGAAACUGCGUAGCUAGAGUCCUGGAGAGGAAGGUGGAAUGCUUGGUGUAGAGGUGAAAUUCGUAGAUAUCAAGCGGAACACCAGUGGCGAAGGCGACCUUCUGGACAGUGACUGACGCUGAGACGCGAAAGCGUGGGGAGCAAACAGG